Molecule: ribosomal RNA, 497 nt
Filed under: uncultured bacterium
Lineage: Bacteria
Description: partial 16S ribosomal RNA
Rfam family: Bacterial small subunit ribosomal RNA
Source: RNAcentral
GAUGAACGCUGGCGGCGUGCCUAAUACAUGCAAGUCGAGCGAACGGACGAGAAGCUUGCUUUUCUGAUGUUAGCGGCGGACGGGUGAGUAACACGUGGAUAACCUACCUAUAAGACUGGGAUAACUUCGGGAAACCGGAGCUAAUACCGGAUAAUAUUUUGAACCGCAUGGUUCAAAAGUGAAAGACGGUCUUGCUGUCACUUAUAGAUGGAUCCGCGCUGCAUUAGCUAGUUGGUAAGGUAACGGCUUACCAAGGCAACGAUGCAUAGCCGACCUGAGAGGGUGAUCGGCCACACUGGAACUGAGACACGGUCCAGACUCCUAUGGGAGGCAGCAGUAGGGAAUCUUCCGCAAUGGGCGAAAGCCCGACGGAGCAACGCCGCGUGAGUGAUGAAGGUCUUCGGAUCGUAAAACUCUGUUAUUAGGGAAGAACAUAUGUGUAAGUAACUGUGCACAUCUUGACGGUACCUAAUCAGAAAGCCACGGCUAACUACGUG